CCCCUCUCAGGGUCGCACCUGGAGAGUUUCCAGUACUCUACCAGUCUCGACUACAGGAGGGAGAGACAAGCAGAGGCCUAGCCGUUCCAUUGCUGGCUUGGGCAGUGUCUAGAGAGUGGAAGGCCAUCUGCUACAAAU
This 138-nucleotide small nucleolar RNA is filed under the name Ornithorhynchus anatinus (platypus). The record is from RNAcentral. Lineage: Eukaryota; Metazoa; Chordata; Mammalia; Monotremata; Ornithorhynchidae.